This 492-nucleotide ribosomal RNA is filed under the name uncultured bacterium. RNAcentral's name for it is "partial 16S ribosomal RNA". It matches the Rfam family "Bacterial small subunit ribosomal RNA", at positions 29 to 507 of the family's 1533-position model. The record is from RNAcentral.
AGUGAACGCUGGCGGUAGGCCUAACACAUGCAAGUCGAACGGCAGCACAGUAAGAGCUUGCUCUUACGGGUGGCGAGUGGCGGACGGGUGAGGAAUACAUCGUAAUCUACUUUUUCGUGGGGGAUAACGUAGGGAAACUUACGCUAAUACCGCAUACGACCUACGGGUGAAAGCAGGGGAUCUUCGGACCUUGCGCGAUUGAAUGAGCCGAUGUCGGAUUAGCUAGUUGGCGGGGUAAAGGCCCACCAAGGCGGCGAUCCGUAGCUGGUCUGAGAGGAUGGUCGGCCACACUGGAGCUGAAACACGGACCAGGCUCCUACGGGAGACAGCAGUGGGGAAUAGUGGACAAUGGGCGCAAGCCUGAUCCAGCCAUACCGCGUGGGUGAAGAAGGCCUUCGGGUUGUAAAGCCCUUUUGUUGGGAAAGAAAAGCAGCAGGUUGAUACCCCGCUGUUCUGACGGUACCCAAAGAAUAAGCACCGGCUAACUUCGUG